This 197-nucleotide ribosomal RNA is filed under the name uncultured bacterium. RNAcentral's name for it is "partial 16S ribosomal RNA". It matches the Rfam family "Bacterial small subunit ribosomal RNA", at positions 326 to 539 of the family's 1533-position model. The record is from RNAcentral.
ACGCUCGACACCUAGGGGGCAGCAGUUGGGAAUAUUGGACAAUGGAGGAAACUCUGAUCCAGUGACGCCGCGUGAAGGAAGAAGGUCUUCGGAUUGUAAACUUAUUUUGUCAGGGAAGAAAAAUGACUGUACCUGAAGAAAAAGCACCGGCUAACUACGUGCCCGCAGCCGCGGUAAUCUGAGCGGGCUGGCAAGGC